AAUAGAUACCCUGGUAGUCCACGCCGUAAACGAUGAGUGCUAAGUGUUAGAGGGUUUCCGCCCUUUAGUGCUGCAGCUAACGCAUUAAGCACUCCGCCUGGGGAGUACGGCCGCAAGGCUGAAACUCAAAGGAAUUGACGGGGGCCCGCACAAGCGGUGGAGCAUGUGGUUUAAUUCGAAGCAACGCGAAGAACCUUACCAGGUCUUGACAUCCUCUGCCAACCCUAGAGAUAGGGCGUUCCCCUUCGGGGGACAGAGUGACAGGUGGUGCAUGGUUGUCGUCAGCUCGUGUCGUGAGAUGUUGGGUUAAGUCCCGCAACGAGCGCAACCCUUGAUCUUAGUUGCCAGCAUUUAGUUGGGCACUCUAAGGUGACUGCCGGUGACAAACCGGAGGAAGUGGGGAUGACGUCAAAUCAUCAUGCCCCUUAUGACCUGGGCUACACACGUGCUACAAUGGAUGGUACAAAGAGCUGCGAACCCGCGAGGGUAAGCGAAUCUCAUAAAGCCAUUCUCAGUUCGGA
This 521-nucleotide ribosomal RNA is filed under the name uncultured bacterium. RNAcentral describes it as "bacterial SSU rRNA". It matches the Rfam family "Bacterial small subunit ribosomal RNA", at positions 777 to 1297 of the family's 1533-position model. The record is from RNAcentral.